This 62-nucleotide transfer RNA is filed under the name Lumbricus terrestris (common earthworm). RNAcentral's name for it is "tRNA-Trp". Lineage: Eukaryota; Metazoa; Annelida; Clitellata; Crassiclitellata; Lumbricidae. The record is from RNAcentral.
AAGACUUUAAGUUAAACAAACUAAAAACCUUCAAAGUUUUCAUUGGGAGUAUCCAAGUCUUG